This 1049-nucleotide long non-coding RNA is filed under the name Sarcophilus harrisii (Tasmanian devil). RNAcentral describes it as "lncRNA (ENSSHAG00000030223.1)". The record is from RNAcentral. Lineage: Eukaryota; Metazoa; Chordata; Mammalia; Dasyuromorphia; Dasyuridae.
CUCGCUCCUCCCUGCUCGGUUCUGCCGAAGGGGCUCCCCGGGGACCCCACGCGCUUGCCCCUCCCCCCCCCCAGGAGAAGCCCCCUCUGGUCUGAGGGGCGUGGUCAGAGGCAGUAAGGACUCUGGAAAGGUCGAGGAGUGGACCUCCGAGGGCGUGGGGGCGAUGUCCUGCUGCUCUGCUCGGGGGCACCCACAGAGACAGAGAGAGAGAGAGAGGUGAAUGGAUAAAGAGAGACUGAGAAAGAGGGAGGGAUGGAAAGAGAAAGACAGAAAGAGAGUGAGAGACAGAUAGAAAGAGAUGAGAGGAAAAGAAAAGAGAAAGAGAGACACACAGAGGUGGAUGGAUAGAAAGAUUGAGAGGGAGAGAGAAAGGAGGAAGGCAGAAAAGGAGGGAGAAAGGGAAAGAAAAAGGGAGAAUCCAUCAGGUUUCCAGGCUCUUAGGGACUCCUGAUUUCUUCUGCUUCCCAGUUUUUUCUCUUCAGUCAUUCCCAUGGAGUUUUAAUUGAAAGAAAGAAAAAGGCAUGUCCAGCAACUGGCUCACCCUCAUUUUAAGGCCCCUGUAUGAUCCUUUUGUGGAUAUUCUAUGCUUUUUCUGACUCUUUGUCCCAGUUGAGGUCAGGAGUUUUAUCUGUCUUCCCCCUUCCCUUCCUCCAGGCAGUCCCUGCUCCUGGGAGGGAUUUCAGCCAACUACAACAGUCGGGGGAAGAUAUCCCUCUUCCCCACCCACUUUGGCUCAUCUGGACAUUUUGUUUUCCAAGGCUUUUUAUAUCACGUGACUCUGAGACUCUUAACUGUUGUGAUAAGGGAAAGUAAAAAGGCUAAAAUGUUAAAUCUUCAAAGGCCGUGCCUUUGAUCACCGUUCUUAAACUACUUAACCUUGCCUAUCAGGAAAGGAGGCCAACUGGAAAAGUGCUUUUUUAGCCAAGCCAAGACUGAAAACUUUUUUUAUAUUUUAUGGGAAGUAAAAAUAAAAGACUUUUUUAUAUUUAUAUUUUCAAGUAAGUUUUAGUUGUUAAUUUAAAAAGAAACUAGAUUUGGUUAUAUUUCAG